AGAGUACGUGAAACCGUUCAGGGGUAAACCUGAGAAACCCAAAAGAUCGAAUGGGGAGAUUCAUCGUCAACGGUGCUGGCUCCCGUUGGUGUGCGAUGCUCCGAAUGGGCCCUCGCGGCUCCAUGGCGAGAGCACGCCACCUUCGGCUUGAAUGUCCGGACACCGUAGUCGUGCACUUCUCCCCUAGUAGAACGUCGCGACCCGUUGCGUGUCGGUCUACGGGGCCCGAGUGGGAGCCUGUCGCGUCACUUUACGUGUACGCGGCCAGACCCUCGGCUGGCCUGACCGGCUGCGCGACGGUACUCACACGGUAUCGGGCCGCAACCAAUCCAUUCUCGAAUGUAUGUGCGUCUCAGGCCCGCCGCAAGCUAGGACAGUUUUACCCGUAGGUACGGACCUGGUGCCGUCCACGGGCCUGUCCAGCUGCUGUUAGCAGGCGGUGUCCUCGGAUUGGCCAAGCUUUGAAUUACCGGUCGGCGACGCUCCUGCUUUGGGUACUCUCAGGACCCGUCUUGAAACACGGACCAAGGAGUCUAACAUGUGCGCGAGUCAUUGGGAUUGAUAAACCUAAAGGCGAAAUGAAAGUGAAGGUUGACCUCUGCGUCGACCWAGGGGGAUGGGCCGCGUCACGAUGCGGCCUCGCACUCCCGGGGCGUUUCGUUCUCAUUGCGAGAAGAGGCGCACCUAGAGCGUACACGUUGGGACCCGAAGGGGGGGGAAAAAAAAA
RNAcentral lists this ribosomal RNA (727 nucleotides) under Nanorhathymus acutiventris. RNAcentral describes it as "eukaryotic LSU rRNA". It matches the Rfam family "Eukaryotic large subunit ribosomal RNA", at positions 392 to 837 of the family's 3401-position model. The record is from RNAcentral. Lineage: Eukaryota; Metazoa; Arthropoda; Insecta; Hymenoptera; Apidae.